CAGCAGUAACCGCGGUAAUACGUAGGUGGCAAGCGUUGUCCGGAAUUAUUGGGCGUAAAGCGCGCACAGGCGGUUUCUUAAGUCUGAUGUGAAAGCCCCCGGCUUAACCGGGGAGGGUCAUUGGAAACUGGGAGACUUAGAGUGCAGAAGAGGAGAGUGGAAUUCCAUGUGUAGCGGUGAAAUGCGUAGAUAUAUGGAGGAACACCAGUGGCGAAGGCGACUCUCUGGUCUGUAACUGACGCUGAGGCGCGAAAGCGUGGGGGGCAAACAGGAUUAGAUACCCGCGUAGUCCCUGUCUCUUAUA
Molecule: ribosomal RNA, 304 nt
Filed under: uncultured bacterium
Lineage: Bacteria
Description: partial 16S ribosomal RNA
Rfam family: Bacterial small subunit ribosomal RNA
Source: RNAcentral